UAGGGAAUCUUCCGCAAUGGACGCAAGUCUGACGGAGCAACGCCGCGUGAGUGAAGAAGGAUUUCGGUUCGUAAAACUCUGUUGUUAGAGAAGAACAGCGCAUAGAGUAACUGUUAUGCGUGUGACGGUAUCUAACCAGCAAGCCACGGCUAACUACGUGCCAGCAGACGCGGUAAUACGUAGGUGGCAAGCGUUGUCCGGAUUUAUUGGGCGUAAAGCGAGCGCAGGCGGUCAAUUAAGUCUGGUGUGAAAGCCCCCGGCUCAACCGGGGAGGGUCAUUAGAAACUGGUUGACUUGAGUGCGGAAGAGGAGAGUGGAAUUCCAUGUGUAGCGGUGAAAUGCGUAGUUAUAUGGAGGAACACCAGUGGCGAAGGCGACUCUCUGGUCUGUAACUGACGCUGAGGCUCGAAAGCGUGGGUAGCAAACAGG
Molecule: ribosomal RNA, 429 nt
Filed under: Bacteroidota bacterium
Lineage: Bacteria; Pseudomonadati; Bacteroidota
Description: Bacteroidetes bacterium partial 16S ribosomal RNA
Rfam family: Bacterial small subunit ribosomal RNA
Source: RNAcentral